RNAcentral lists this ribosomal RNA (253 nucleotides) under uncultured bacterium. Its description in RNAcentral is "partial 16S ribosomal RNA". It matches the Rfam family "Bacterial small subunit ribosomal RNA", at positions 524 to 776 of the family's 1533-position model. The record is from RNAcentral.
UACGUAGGGGGCAAGCGUUGUUCGGAAUUACUGGGCGUAAAGGGCUCGUAGGCGGCCAACUAAGUCAGACGUGAAAUCCCUCGGCUUAACCGGGGAACUGCGUCUGAUACUGGAUGGCUUGAGAUUGGGAGAGGGAUGCGGAAUUCCAGGUGUAGCGGUGAAAUGCGCAGAUAUCGGGAGGAACACCUAUGGCGAAGGCAGCUCGCUGGGACGUUACUGACGCUGAGGCGCGAAAGCUAGGGGAGCAAACGGG